This 2475-nucleotide unclassified non-coding RNA is filed under the name Hevea brasiliensis (rubber tree). Lineage: Eukaryota; Viridiplantae; Streptophyta; Magnoliopsida; Malpighiales; Euphorbiaceae. The record is from RNAcentral.
CUCUCUCUCAAACACCCACACAAGCAUUCAUUGAUGAAAAUGCUGAUUGUAGCCUUGUAGUUCUGAGUUCUUCUUGCUCAUCUUCUGGUUUUUUAAUUACCCAUCAUUGAUCACACAGGAGAGAUUCAAGAAAAAAAAAAGGGAUAGAAAUACUCAUUCUGGUUAGUGGAUAAGACCCUUCUUAAUCUUCCCCAAUGUUUAAGGAAAAUUCCCACCAGAGAGACCUAAUCUAUCCCUUUAGAUAAGAGAGAAAAUUUAUCCACUAAAUCUGGGCACUUAGCUGGUGAUCUCUACUAUACCCUCUCUCCUACAAAAAUAAACACGUUUUUUUUUUUUUUGGUUGAAUGAGUUCUCUUCAGUUUCUCUUUCUUAAACUGAACAAGCUUUAAAAUUUGAAAUUGAAGCUCCCUAUAUAUUAUUUACGUCUAAUACUUCUUUUUAUUUAUCGAAAUAUAUAUAUAUAUAUACUGGGUGGUAGUAGUAGUAGUAGAAGACGUAGUAGUAGAAAUAGUUGGUCGGGGUUGUUCUUGUUCUUGUAUUGUUCAUGGACUGCUUGAGAGAAAUAGAAGGCAAACAAGCUCAUGAUCCUAUAUUCAUUGAAAAAAUGAAUAAAUCUUCAACACGCUGUGUAUGCGUCCCUGGUCCGGUGAUCGUCGGGGCAGGCCCGUCGGGGCUAGCCGUGGCAGCUUGCCUGAAAGAAAGAGGUGUACCGAGUACGGUCCUAGAGAGAUCCAACUGCAUAGCAUCUUUAUGGCAGCUAAAGACUUAUGAUCGCCUUCGGCUUCACUUGCCAAAACAAUUCUGCGAGCUUCCUCUCAUGGGGUUCCCUACUGAAUUUCCAACUUACCCUAGUAAGCAACAAUUUAUUGACUACUUAGAAAAAUAUGCAGAAAAGUUCGAUGUUAGGCCACGGUUCAAUGAGACUGUGUCACACGCAGAAUUUGAUCAAGUUCUUGGAUUUUGGCGCGUGAGGACUGUUGGGCCAAAGGUGGAGGAAACGGAGUAUGUGUGCCGGUGGGUGGUGGUGGCCACCGGAGAGAAUGCAGAGGCCGUGGUGCCAGAGAUUGAAGGAAUGGGUGAAUUUGGAAGCGAUAUAAGACAUACAAGUUUGUAUAAAAGUGGAGAAGAGUUUACAGGAAAAAGGGUUUUGGUGGUUGGAUGUGGGAAUUCAGGAAUGGAGGUUUGUCUAGAUCUAUGCAAUCAUAGUGCCAAGCCUUCACUUGUGGUCAGAGAUACGGUGCAUAUUCUACCAAGAGAGAUGCUGGGAAAAUCAACUUUCGGGCUGUCGAUGUGGUUGCUAAAGUGGCUGCCCAUGAGGCUUGUGGAUCGGUUCCUGCUGGUAGUGUCAAGGUUGAUGCUCGGAGAUACGGCGAGAUUGGGAUUGGAGCGGCCACAAUUGGGACCCCUUGAACUCAAGAACUUGUCCGGGAAGACCCCAGUAUUAGAUGUUGGGACACUGGCCAGAAUCAAAAGUGGAGACGUUAAGGUAUGUCCAGGUAUUAAGAGGCUGAAACGACAUAGUGUAGUUUUUGUUAAUGGGAAAACGGAGAACUUCGAUGCCAUUAUCUUAGCAACAGGUUACAAAAGCAAUGUACCAUCUUGGCUAAAGGAAGGAGACAUGUUCUCGGAGAAAGAUGGGUUGCCAAGAAGGCCAUUUCCAAAUGGGUGGAAAGGUGAGUGUGGGCUAUAUGCAGUGGGGUUCACUAAACGUGGAAUUCUUGGUGCUUCAAUCGAUGCCAAGAGAAUAGCUGAAGAUAUUGAAAGGUGUUGGAAAGCAGAAGCAAAACAUUCUAUGGCCUUUGCUAGGUCACUUCUGCCUCUGUCAUCACCAUGAAUUUUUGGUUUUUGAAUUCUAUACAUAUCUAUAUAUAGAGAGAAGAUUUCUUUUGGAGUAUUAUAGGAGAUUGGAGGGUUUUUCUUCUAUGGUGCCAAUUGACACAAUGUUGGCACCAAAGUUAGUGCUUCUCCAAUAGAGGAAAUGAACAGAAAAGAAAAAAAAAAGGAAGGUAUAAAGGGUGACAGUCAUAGCUGGGAGAAGCCUUAACUUUUCAAAAUGACACCAGCUCAAAGGCCUUAGGAAGGAGGAAUAUUUUUUUAUAAGAAAAGAAGGUUUGGUGUGGUUUUGUGGGGGACCUCAGCUAUUGUGUACAUCUUGUACAUUACCAUUUUUCUCUAGUUAGGUAUGACUUUUUACAGAGGGAAAAGAGAGGAGGAGGUGGUAGGUUGUUUGGUAUUUGUUUGCUAAGUGCUAUGAUUGUGUUUAACCUUUUAAUUUCAUCAUCUUCCAUGGGGUUUGGGAUCUCUUUUUGGGGAGUAUAUAACAUUCUUAUGUUUUCCCUAAUCUUGGCCUUCUUCAAUAUGCUUCAUUUUUCCCAUUUUUUAGGUUUUUUUUUCUCCAUUUUGGUUGUGUUUCAUGGUAACUUCUAAGGAAACAUGACUUCUAAUGGAAUCCUUAACUUACAAUUUUGUGACUCU